UAUAUAUAAUGAUGAUAAAUAAAAAUAUGCAAGUAGGGACAUGAGAAAACUUUUAUUAUGUUCGAUAUUUUUACCUUCUGAUUAAA
This is a small nucleolar RNA of Plasmodium falciparum MaliPS096_E11, 86 nucleotides long. It matches the Rfam family "small nucleolar RNA snoR22". The record is from Rfam. Lineage: Eukaryota; Apicomplexa; Aconoidasida; Haemosporida; Plasmodiidae.